AACGUAGGAGACAAACGUUAUCCGGAGUUACUGGGCGUAAAGGGCGUGUAGGCGGUUUGUUAAGUCUGGCGUGAAAGCUCUCGGCUAAACCGGGAGAGGUCGUUGGAUACUGGCAAACUAGAGGACGGUAGAGGCGUGUGGAAUUCCGGGUGUAGUGGUGAAAUGCGUAGAUAUCUGGAGGAACACCGGUGGCGAAGGCGGCAUCCUGGACCAACACUGACGCUGAGGAGCGAAAGCCAGGGGAGCAAACGGG
This 253-nucleotide ribosomal RNA is filed under the name uncultured bacterium. Its description in RNAcentral is "partial 16S ribosomal RNA". It matches the Rfam family "Bacterial small subunit ribosomal RNA", at positions 524 to 776 of the family's 1533-position model. The record is from RNAcentral.